UAGUAACUGCGAGUGAAGCGGGAAGAGCUCAAAUUUGAAAUCUGGCAGUUUUUAACUGUCUGAGUUGUAAUCUAGAGAAGUGUUACCUGUGCUGGACCAUGUAAAAGUCUCCUGGAAUGGAGCAUCAUAGAGGGUGAGAAUCCCGUCUUUGACAUGGACUGCCAGUAUGUUAUGGUAUGCUCUCAAAGAGUCGAGUUGUUUGGGAAUGCAGCUCAAAAUGGGUGGUAAAUGCCAUCUAAAGCUAAAUAUUGGCGAGAGACCGAUAGCGAACAAGUACCGUGAGGGAAAGAUGAAAAGAACUUUGGAAAGAGAGUUAAACAGUACGUGAAAUUGCUGAAAGGGAAACGCUUGAAGUCAGUCAUGUUGUCCAGAAAUCAGCCUUGCUUUUGCUUGGUGUACUUUCUGGUUUGACAGGUCAGCAUCAAUUUUGACUGCUGGAUAAAGUCUUUGGGAAUGUGGCAUCUUUGGAUGUGUUAUAGCCCAUUUGUCGCAUACAGUGGUUGGGAUUGAGGAACUCAGCACGCCACAAAGGCCGGGUUUUGACCACGUUCGUGCUUAGGAUGCUGGCAUAAUGGCUUUAAUCGACCCGUCUUGAAACACGGACCAAGGAGUCUAACAUGCCUGCAAGUGUUUGGGUGGAAAACCCAUGCGCGUAAUGAAAGUGAAAGUUAAGAUCCUUUCAAAGGAGCAUUGACGCCCAGACCAGACCUUUUGUGACGGAUCUGCGGUAGAGCAUGUAUGUUGGGACCCGAAAGAUGGUGAACUAUGCCUGAAUAGGGUGAAGCCAGAGGAAACUCUGGUGGAGGCUCGUAGCGAUUCUGACGUGCAAAUCGAUCGUC
This 839-nucleotide ribosomal RNA is filed under the name Inocybe stellata. RNAcentral describes it as "partial large subunit ribosomal RNA". It matches the Rfam family "Eukaryotic large subunit ribosomal RNA", at positions 81 to 906 of the family's 3401-position model. Lineage: Eukaryota; Fungi; Basidiomycota; Agaricomycetes; Agaricales; Inocybaceae. The record is from RNAcentral.